Molecule: unclassified non-coding RNA, 217 nt
Filed under: uncultured fungus
Lineage: Eukaryota; Fungi
Description: sequence contains ITS1, 5.8S rRNA gene
Source: RNAcentral
GUAUUAAAUUUUUGACCACUGAAGGUCUUACAUUUAAGAGACAUUCUAAUAGACUUGUAUGUGUGUGUGUAAAAAUAACAUAGACACAGAUUUGUGAAAAAUCCGGCCUACAAUGAGUUCACAGGUGAGAUGAAAAGGCGGAGUGCACAUGCCCCGAAAGGCCAGCAGCAUCCUGAGGAUUUCAAUAAUGAUCCUUCCGCAGGUUCACCUACGGAAA